Ornithodoros turicata is the source of this 894-nucleotide long non-coding RNA. RefSeq lists it as uncharacterized. The record is from RefSeq and is a predicted model, not a curated record. NCBI's taxonomy places the organism in Eukaryota, Metazoa, Arthropoda, Arachnida, Ixodida, Argasidae. The transcript has 3 exons.
UUGAAACCGACAAUAGAAUCAGAUCCGCCAAUAAUAAAAUCAUUACAAAUGGAGGAAAGUAUUAGCAGAAAAUUCGAUUAUGACGCUCUACCAGAUAAUAUAAAUAUUAAAAACGUUAGGCGCAUAGUGUCAGCGAUACCGAGGAGUUUGUCAUGGAAUGAAAAAGGAGAAAUCAUUCAUAACAACAAAACCAUUCAGGGCUCUAGUAUAAUGGAAUUGGUCUUGUACCUAUUCGGUCAUAAACGAGUGAGGCCCACUUGGUUUCUAAAGGUGUCAAAACUUCUACCAUCUCACAAGAUCAGACAGAAAAGAAAAUCAAAGAAGAAAAUAUUGUGGGAGACCUACAAGUCGCCGCAAAGAACAAAGUUGAUUUCAUCUUCGGAUGAAGAAUAUUUCUCAGAAGAAUGAGCUACAGAUCACCUGACGGCGGGCUCGGAGGGGUCAAACGAUAUCAAAAGGCACGGAAAAUCACAAGGAAAGAAGCACUACAAGAAUUACAACGCGAUGAUGUCUAUACUCUCCAUGAUGAUGCAAGACGAAGAUUUAAGAGAAGGAAAGUCAUCUCACUCCACCUGAAUGAUCUACAUCAAGCAGACCUCAUUUCAUUCAUCCAAUACAAGAAAUACAAUAAAGGAUUCUCAUACAUACUGCUUGUGAUAGACUGUUUGUCGAGGCAAGUCGUGGCCACACCUCUCAAGACCAAGCGAGGUGAAGAUGUGAAGAAAAGAUUUAUGAAGCUAUAUCGAAAGAGAGGCAUAAAACCGCGACAAAUCCAUGUAGAUCAGGGGUCUGAGUUCUUCAACAAACAAGUACAGGCUUGGUGUAAGCGUCAUGGCAUCUUAGUAUUUAGCUCUAGUCCAACAUUUUUUCCAAAUGCUCCAGAGUCGCCGCCGC